CAAAGGAUAUUAAACUUCACAGUGAACGUGUCCUCUGGGAUCUGAGGAGCCGAAAGUCUGAGGAAAUCCUUAUUAAGCUGAGAGCUGUGGUGGGACAAGAGUCUUCUUGUCAAGCAUUUGUCGCAACAGCACCUGCGGACUUAAGGCUCAGCAGAGGACACAUCUGGAACCCAUUUCCUGCUGGGGUGAACCAUGAAUGCCCGGCCGUAGUCAACACCGAGCGGUGUGUCUCCUGUCUGGCUGUCAGCUGUCUUCCUGGCCAGAGCCUGAGAACAUGGCUGCUAGUGAAAGUGUUUAUGUGUUUAUGUGACCACAGGCUAUAAACCAACAUCAGCUCUAGCUGCACAAACCUGUGGAAUCAAAUGAAGCUUCUUUGUGGAGCAGAGUGACUCAGGUGAAGAAGGAGUUGCAGCGUGGAAGAGAAUGCUUCCUGGAAUUCAUAACACUUCCUUACUUUUCUAACAUUUUUAAAGAAAGUUAUGCCUGAGUGCUCAGGGGGAUUUUAAAGGAAUUGUUGGCUGCAUACAAAAACUAAAAUAUAUGUAUUAAUUUUAAUUCCAUAAUAGGUCCCUGUGGUUGCUGCCUAUCUUAAAGGAAGGAUUAGAAGAAGGCAAAUGUUUCAUUCUAUUCACCAAACAUUAUAGUUAAUACUUUUCUGACAUGAAAUCUUUGUUUACCUAAUGUAUUAGAUGUAAUAGAUUUGUCAAACUAGUUCUUCCCACUAGAGCUCCUGAUUUAAAUCUCCUUUAAAUAAACUUCAGUUGACUCAAUAUCCUCA
RNAcentral lists this long non-coding RNA (778 nucleotides) under Bos indicus x Bos taurus (hybrid cattle). RNAcentral describes it as "lncRNA (ENSBIXG00005018371.1)". Lineage: Eukaryota; Metazoa; Chordata; Mammalia; Artiodactyla; Bovidae. The record is from RNAcentral.